This is a long non-coding RNA of Loxodonta africana (African savanna elephant), 648 nucleotides long. RefSeq lists it as uncharacterized. The record is from RefSeq and is a predicted model, not a curated record. NCBI's taxonomy places the organism in Eukaryota, Metazoa, Chordata, Mammalia, Proboscidea, Elephantidae. The transcript has 2 exons.
CCCAGAGUUAGUCAAUUUGGACCCGCCUCCAGGGGCGGGCCGAGGAAUGAAGCUCCUGCUCCCGCACAGCGGAGCCCCGCCCCGGGCGAUGACGGCGGCUGCGAGGCUGACGCCGCCGCGGUCCUAGUGCGCUCAGAGUAGGCUGCGUCGGCGGCCCGCCGGGUCUUCCAGCGCGUCUGCCGAGGUUAGCAAUGCACCUUCACCGGUCUGAUAAAGUACAGCGCCGCGAGCUGUGGUUCUCGACUUAUAACGUGAACAUAAUUGCCUAGAGGGCAUGUUGAAGAGACGGACCAGCCCCACGGCAAAGCGGCAGUCCUGGGUGGGGCUGAAGACUUGCAUUUCUAAGUUUUUUCUAAGCAAUACUGAAAAUUCUGGUUUCAGAACUAGGGCUGAGCAUCUAGAGCUGGGGUCGGCAAAUGUUUUCUACCAAGCUUCUGGUAGACCCAGGCGUUCCUGGCUUGCAGUUGCAACAUUAACUCCACUCUGCCUGUCAUCACAUGGCCGCCUUCCCUUUGUGUGUGUCUUUCCCUUUUAUUUACAAAGACACCAGUCAUAUUGGAUUAGGACCCACCCUACUCCAGUAGGAGCUCCCGUUAACUGAUAACAUCUCCAAAGACCCUAUUUCCCAACAAGAUCACAUUCACAGAA